This is a long non-coding RNA of Myotis brandtii (Brandt's bat), 589 nucleotides long. RefSeq lists it as uncharacterized. NCBI's taxonomy places the organism in Eukaryota, Metazoa, Chordata, Mammalia, Chiroptera, Vespertilionidae. The transcript is spliced from 5 exons. The record is from RefSeq and is a predicted model, not a curated record.
AAACAAAGAGGUAAAGAUGGGAUCCACUGAAGAAGAAAGACCUGGGUCUUCAGCACCCUGUGUGCUAGCCCAGAAGUGUUAUUUGAAAGCCUCUGUUACAUCUGCUGCAGACCCCCUAAACAAGUGGACUUGCAUUUGGACAUUCUCAGCAGGAAUGGUUAUAGGCUGACAGGACCAUAAAGGAGAUGAUGCUAGAUAGUUGAUAGAUCUUAUAGUUCAACUUCAUCCUAGAUAGAAGCGGGAUUCAUCUGACAGCAGAGAAAUGAAAUUUCAGGAGACCAAAACUAGAUCUGAGUUUCUUUAUAGAAACUUCUUUUCCAGCCUUGAAACUCUUGGAUGCUGAGUCCUGGAUAUGCAAUAGAUGACGACAACAUUUUCCUUUUAUGUAUGAAGGUGUAGAUGGAAGCUGACUUUUCUCACCAAAAAUGGUUUAUAGAAUCAACUUGAAAAACAUGAGGCAGCAAACAAAGGAAAGAGUAAAAUAUUUCUUUUAUCAUCCUUAGGUUCUUUGCUAGAUUGUAAACUCCAUGAAAGCAGGAUAACUUCCCUAUCCUUAACACCUGGUCUAUAAUAAAUACUCAAAAAAUAA